UACGUAGGGUGCAAGCGUUGUCCGGAAUUAUUGGGCGUAAAGAGCUCGUAGGCGGUUUGUCGCGUCUGCUGUGAAAACUCGGGGCUUAACUCCGGGCCUGCAGUGGGUACGGGCAGACUAGAGUGCGGUAGGGGAGACUGGAAUUCCUGGUGUAGCGGUGAAAUGCGCAGAUAUCAGGAGGAACACCGAUUGCGAAGGCAGCUCGCUGGGACGUUACUGACGCUGAGACGCGAAAGCGUGGGGAGCAAACAGG
This 253-nucleotide ribosomal RNA is filed under the name uncultured bacterium. Its description in RNAcentral is "partial 16S ribosomal RNA". It matches the Rfam family "Bacterial small subunit ribosomal RNA", at positions 524 to 776 of the family's 1533-position model. The record is from RNAcentral.